GUGGGGAAUAUUGGACAAUGGGCGCAAGCCUGAUCCAGCCAUGCCGCGUGAGUGAUGAAGGUCUUAGGAUUGUAAAGCUCUUUCACCGAUGAAGAUAAUGACGGUAGUCGGAGAAGAAGCCCCGGCUAACUUCGUGCCAGCAGCCGCGGUAAUACGAAGGGGGCUAGCGUUGUUCGGAAUUACUGGGCGUAAAGCGCAUGUAGGCGGAUAUUUAAGUCAGGGGUGAAAUCCCGCAGCUCAACUGCGGAACUGCCUUUGAUACUGGGUAUCUUGAGUAUGGAAGAGGUGAGUGGAAUUCCGAGUGUAGAGGUGAAAUUCGUAGAUAUUCGGAGGAACACCAGUGGCGAAGGCGGCUCACUGGUCCAUUACUGACGCUGAGGUGCGAAAGCGUGGGGAGCAAACAGGAUUAGAAACCCCGGUAGUCC
RNAcentral lists this ribosomal RNA (425 nucleotides) under uncultured bacterium. RNAcentral describes it as "partial 16S ribosomal RNA". It matches the Rfam family "Bacterial small subunit ribosomal RNA", at positions 354 to 796 of the family's 1533-position model. The record is from RNAcentral.